This 465-nucleotide unclassified non-coding RNA is filed under the name uncultured Cryptococcus. Its description in RNAcentral is "sequence contains ITS1, 5.8S rRNA gene, ITS2". The stretch from base 236 to 389 matches the Rfam family "5.8S ribosomal RNA". Lineage: Eukaryota; Fungi; Basidiomycota; Tremellomycetes. The record is from RNAcentral.
AAGGAUCAGUAGAGAACGCCGACGCAAGUCGGUUCUACCCACACACACCCGUGAACCGUGGAGCGGCCGGGGGGACUCGUCCCCCUGGCGUCCGAAACCUGGAGCAGCGAACGCGCCUCUGUUCCCUAAUAGCGCAGGCCUCGCGUCUGGCAGCGAACGGGCCUUGGUGUCUAAUAGCGUCCGCCUUUACAAAACGUCUAGAAAUGUAACGAACGUAGUCUUAUUUUAACAAAUAAACUUUCAACAACGGAUCUCUUGGCUCCCACAUCGAUGAAGAACGCAGCGAAAUGCGAUAAGUAAUGUGAAUUGCAGAAUUCAGUGAAUCAUCGAGUCUUUGAACGCACCUUGCGCCCUCUGGUAUUCCGGAGGGCAUGCCUGUUUGAGUGUCAUGAAACUCUCAACCCCUCGGGUUUUACGACCCGAUCGUGUUGGAUUUGGGCGCUGCCGCUUAGUUGCCGGCUCGCC